Molecule: unclassified non-coding RNA, 446 nt
Filed under: Hevea brasiliensis (rubber tree)
Lineage: Eukaryota; Viridiplantae; Streptophyta; Magnoliopsida; Malpighiales; Euphorbiaceae
Source: RNAcentral
GGUUAUUUUUUGGUCCCUCAAGGUUGGUUUUUUAGGCCUUUGAAUCGAAAAGGGGUUGUAUAUUUCUAAACCUCUUUGAUCUUUUCUUUCUAAUCUUUCUUUCUAAAGGAACCAGCUAUUCUUUAAUUUGCUUAAGAAGCAGGUGGUGCUUUUUAUUUUAAUCUUGAUUUUUAAGAAUUUUAGUUUAGAAAUUUAGCUUGAGAAGGCAUGGCAGCUACAAUGGAUUUCUACAGUAGCAGACAUCUUCAAUCAGACCCCUUUGGGGGUGAGCUAAUGCAAGCACUUGAGCCUUUUAUGAGAAGUGCUUCCUCUUCAACUACCCCUUCUCCUUCUCCUUCUUCUACUCCUUCUAUUUCCUCUUCUUUACCUCCCCUUCCCUCAACUUCGUAUUCUCCUCAUGAUUACCUUUCUUUUUCCUCUUCUUCUUCUUCUCCUUCUCCUUCUCC